Non-coding RNA from Paramuricea clavata, 313 nucleotides. The record is from the annotation of a GenBank genome assembly. Lineage: Eukaryota; Metazoa; Cnidaria; Anthozoa; Malacalcyonacea; Plexauridae.
CAAAAAGUCCAAAAAAUAGAGAAGCUCUAAAUGUUAAUGUUAAUUUAACACCUACAAAAAGAAGGAAAAAGCAAGCAAACCAAAACUGCAUCCUAAAUUGCACGGCAGAAAAGAAAGAACACAUUAUAAAAUUUAGCAAAAUAUCCAAAGAGGUUGUGCAUAACGCAGCUUGCGUAAGAAAAGAUGAUAAAAUAUUGGCCCUGUUGGAAUCGUACAAGGAAGAUAAAGACCUUUUUGCGAGUGAGAAUGGAUACCAUAGAAAAAAUUAUCAGAAAUAUACGCACAAACGUUUGUUGGAAAAAUUGAGCAAAAA